UGCUUUCUAGGUAUAACCAGAAACAA
Molecule: non-coding RNA, 26 nt
Filed under: Rattus norvegicus (Norway rat)
Lineage: Eukaryota; Metazoa; Chordata; Mammalia; Rodentia; Muridae
Source: RNAcentral